CAGCCGCGGUAAUACGAAGGGUGCAAGCGUUAAUCGGAAUUACUGGGCGUAAAGCGUACGUAGGCGGUUUGCCAAGUCUGGUGUUAAAGCUAGGAGCUCAACUCCUGUGAUGCCCUGGAAACUGGCAGGCUUGAGUGCGGUAGGGGAAAGUGGAAUUCCGAGUGUAGCGGUGAAAUGCGUAGAUAUUCGGAAGAACGCCAGUGGCGAAAGCGACUUUCUGGGCCGCAACUGACGCUGAGGUACGAAAGCGUGGGGAGCAAAC
Molecule: ribosomal RNA, 262 nt
Filed under: uncultured bacterium
Lineage: Bacteria
Description: partial 16S ribosomal RNA
Rfam family: Bacterial small subunit ribosomal RNA
Source: RNAcentral